RNAcentral lists this ribosomal RNA (432 nucleotides) under uncultured bacterium. RNAcentral describes it as "partial 16S ribosomal RNA". It matches the Rfam family "Bacterial small subunit ribosomal RNA", at positions 29 to 507 of the family's 1533-position model. The record is from RNAcentral.
GCGAACGCUGGCGGCAGGCCUAACACAUGCACGUCGAACGAACUCUUCGGAGUUAGUGGCGGACGGGUGAGUAACACGUGGGAACGUGCCUUUUGGUUCGGAAUAACUCAGGGAAACUUGUGCUAAUACCGAAUGUGCCCUUCGGGGGAAAGAUUUAUCGCCAUUAGAGCGGCCCGCGUCUGAUUAGCUAGUUGGUGAGGUAACGGCUCACCAAGGCGACGAUCAGUAGCUGGUCUGAGAGGAUGACCAGCCACACUGGGACUAAGACACGGCCCAGACUCCUACGGGAGGCAGCAGUGGGGAAUCUUGCGCAAUGGGCGAAAGCCUGACGCAGCCAUGCCGCGUGAAUGAUGAAGGUCUUAGGAUUGUAAAAUUCUUUCACCGGGGACGAUAAUGACGGUACCCGGAGAAGAAGCCCCGGCUAACUUCGUG